Molecule: ribosomal RNA, 459 nt
Filed under: Enterococcus faecalis
Lineage: Bacteria; Bacillati; Bacillota; Bacilli; Lactobacillales; Enterococcaceae
Description: bacterial SSU rRNA
Rfam family: Bacterial small subunit ribosomal RNA
Source: RNAcentral
UUUAUGGAGAGUUUGAUCCUGGCUCAGGAUGAACGCUGGCGGCGUGCCUAAUACAUGCAAGUCGAGCGAACAGACAAGGAGCUUGCUCCUUUGACGUUAGCGGCGGACGGGUGAGUAACACGUGGGUAACCUACCUAUAAGACUGGGAUAACUUCGGGAAACCGGAGCUAAUACCGGAUAAUAUUUCGAACCGCAUGGUUCGAUAGUGAAAGAUGGUUUUGCUAUCACUUAUAGAUGGACCCGCGCCGUAUUAGCUAGUUGGUAAGGUAACGGCUUACCAAGGCGACGAUACGUAGCCGACCUGAGAGGGUGAUCGGCCACACUGGAACUGAGACACGGUCCAGACUCCUACGGGAGGCAGCAGUAGGGAAUCUUCCGCAAUGGGCGAAAGCCUGACGGAGCAACGCCGCGUGAGUGAUGAAGGUCUUCGGAUCGUAAAACUCUGUUAUUAGGGAAGAA